RNAcentral lists this non-coding RNA (23 nucleotides) under Gallus gallus (chicken). Lineage: Eukaryota; Metazoa; Chordata; Aves; Galliformes; Phasianidae. RNAcentral also lists the same sequence under 1 other name. The record is from RNAcentral.
GCUGAGAGGGCUUGGGGAGAGGA